GGCGAACGCUGGCGGCGUGCCUAACACAUGCAAGUCGAACGGGGUGAAGAGCUUCGGCUUUUCACUUAGUGGCGAACGGGUAAGUAACGCGUGAGAAACCUGCCUUUCAGUGGGGGACAACAGUUGGAAACGACUGCUAAUACCGCAUAACGUUAUUUAGGGGCAUCCCUGAAUAACCAAAGCUUUAUGUGCUGAAAGAUGGUCUCGCGUCUGAUUAGCUAGAUGGCGGGGUAACGCCCACCAUGGCGACGAUCAGUAGCCGGUCUGAGAGGAUGAACGGCCACAUUGGGACUGAGAUACGGCCCAGACUCCUACGGGAGGCAGCAGUGGGGAAUAUUGGGCAAUGGGGGAAACCCUGACCCAGCAACGCCGC
Molecule: ribosomal RNA, 373 nt
Filed under: uncultured bacterium
Lineage: Bacteria
Description: bacterial SSU rRNA
Rfam family: Bacterial small subunit ribosomal RNA
Source: RNAcentral